RNAcentral lists this ribosomal RNA (768 nucleotides) under Siphoptychium casparyi. RNAcentral's name for it is "bacterial SSU rRNA". It matches the Rfam family "Eukaryotic small subunit ribosomal RNA", at positions 68 to 563 of the family's 1831-position model. Lineage: Eukaryota; Evosea; Eumycetozoa; Liceales; Reticulariaceae. The record is from RNAcentral.
AACAGCUGUUUCACUGAAUCUGCGUACGGCUCCGUAUAUCUGUUAUAACCAAAUGUACUAUCCCAGUCCCGCGAGAUAACGGUGGAAACCCUAGCGUAUAAUACGUUCAGAAUAGAACAUAGAGUAACUGCCGGUAAGAAUCGCCAGACAAUGGCGACCUCUGGUGACUGCCGUCCAGCCUCCAGACUGUUAUCGCCCCUCCAGGAGGCCUCCGCCACCUCGGCGCCAGGCCCAGAUCCCUGGGGUUGUGGUGUUGGUCAGUGAGGUGCUAGGGCGAGCAUAGGGGGAUUACCCUCGGUGAAACAUGAGGACUCCUGCGCCUUCCCAUACCAGCCGGGGGCAACAAAAAGGGGAUACAAGCGGCGUUGCCUGUUGCGGGUGAGAACCCCGGCAGGCAGUAUGUCCCUGGCCCUUCUGUGGGGCCGGCUUCCCCCAACCUCGGUCUGUCUCGAUCGUGAGAGAGCGGGAGAGUUCCUAAUGGGUGCAAGAACACUCAUAUCUACAAUGGGUUUCAGCCUCAUCAACUAGAUGGUUGGGCAUUGGCCAACUAUGGUUGUAACGGGUGCAGAGGAUUGGGGUUUGAUCCUGGAGAGGUAGCCUGAGAAACAGCUUCCACUUCUAAGGAAGGCAGCAGGCGCGAAACGUUCUCAAUGAUUGUACCAGAUUGAAGACGUUAAGGGACAUAGCAAUAUUUUGUCGAAAAGAUGAAAUAAUUGAAAUGAGAGAGGUUUAAAUAACCCAUUGAGUAACUAUUGGAGGACAAGUCUG